AGAAGCCGAUAAGUCAUCAAAAUCAACCGUCCAAAAUCAUCACAAAGUCUUUCCGGAGUGUGUAAUAGAGAAAAACACACUCGGAUACACUCAGAAAGGUCUCCGAUGGACUAAAAUCAUCAUUGACGAAGCUGUCUCAGAAAUCGCCCCCAAAAACUUCGAUAUAGACAUCAUCCAUGACCACGAACACUCAGAAACAUGAUCGGAUCUUCUAGGAGGCUCUG
Molecule: long non-coding RNA, 224 nt
Filed under: Nicotiana benthamiana
Lineage: Eukaryota; Viridiplantae; Streptophyta; Magnoliopsida; Solanales; Solanaceae
Description: long non-coding RNA (NBEN_LNC036422)
Source: RNAcentral